AACUGAGAUCUAUAAUUCUUCAGGUUCAAGAAAUACUUGGUUUAGUUUUUAAAUUGCCUCAGGUAUAGGAAUCAGCACAAGAAAAAAAGAAUGGUUAGUUUUGUACCUGAUAUAUGGUAUGUUGUUUGGUUUUUUUUUUUUUUUUUUUUUUUUGUUUUUUUUCCUAGUAUUGUUGUAUCUGUUACAUUAUCAAUUUUACAUUAAAGAAGUGGACAGUCAGCUUGGCUGAGAUCACUUUUACUGCUCUGAAGUUUGCACGUUAAAAGACCCUGGUUGAAAUAUGUAACUCACAGUUUGUAUAAAUCACUUUAUAAUUUAACAGUACAACCUAACUGAAGACGGUAAAAUAAACAGAAGUCUGACUUAAGUAUGAAUGAACUCACUGCUAGGGUGGAAGAGUGUGUGUUUUUGAGAAUGGAUGUGACUGCUGAAGAGACAUAUUACUGAAAAAAAAAAAAAAAAAAAAAAAAAAGACCAAUUGAACAAGCUGCUAGGAAUUACUGUGCUAGAAAAAAUAGAUUAAUAUAAGUAGACUGGAUAGACUGGAUAGAGAAACUUUACAGUUUCCAGUGAGAUUUCUUAAUUGUAGCACUGAGAUUUUUUUCUCAGUAGCAAAUCCAAACCUGGCCUGCUGGUUUGUCCUCUGCCAUUGAUCUUUGAAGUCUAACCAAGAAUGUGCAAUGAAAAUGUUGAUAUACUGAUAAGCUGAUGUAAAUUAUAUCCCCAGAUAUGAAACAUAUUGUGCCGUUUACCACAGUCCUGAUGUUUCUGUUGUUUUGAAGUUGUGAUCCUUGUAGUUGACAUACCGCAGGAAAGUGCUGGAUAAUCUGUUUGAAGAGAGAACAGAGUAAGUUUUGUCGAAGUUGGGGAUGUUGAAGCCCUCUGGACUACUCCAAAGACUUCAAACUGAAGACUAGCCGUGACAGUCAAUACUUUCCAAGCUGGGAUAUUCCCAGGAGGAGGUAGCACAGUUACGUUUGGCAAAAGUGACAGUCAUAUAUCAACUUCAGAGGCUUUGCUCUUACUCUGUGCAACUACUUAUUCAAGGAAAGUGAAAGUGAUUAAAAGAGCCUACCAGAGACUGAAGAAAGGUGAUGAGCAUUUGUGGAGAGUUAAGAAGGUGGAGGGGAAGUUCAGUAUAUGCAGUCAUUUAAGGAAGAGAGUCUUGCAUAGAAAAGUAAGUGUUCUGGCUGUUCACUCACAGAAAGAACAGAAGGUAAGAAUGACCAACAAGAAGCAGUUUGGGGCGCUGGGGCUGGGGUAUGGGAAGGUUGGUAGAGAGUUAACGGUGCAGGAACCAUUGUGAGAUAUACAUUUAUCCUGACAAUAUGUUCUUACCUCCUCCUUCCAUAUUUUGUUACUGAGAUACUCACAUGGUGUCAGCAAUCAGUGGAAUAUUUGAUACCUUUUAUCUAGCAUGUUUU
Molecule: long non-coding RNA, 1424 nt
Filed under: Anas platyrhynchos platyrhynchos (common mallard)
Lineage: Eukaryota; Metazoa; Chordata; Aves; Anseriformes; Anatidae
Description: lncRNA (ENSAPLG00000028442.1)
Source: RNAcentral